UACGGAGGAUGCAAGCGUUAUCCGGAAUGAUUGGGCGUAAAGCGUCCGCAGGUGGCUAUGUAAGUCUGCUGUUAAAGAGUGAGGCUCAACCUCAUAAGAGCAGUGGAAACUACAUAGCUAGAGUGCGUUCGGGGCAGAGGGAAUUCCUGGUGUAGCGGUGAAAUGCGUAGAUAUCAAGAGGAACACCAGUGGCGAAGGCGGGUCCCUGGACAACACCUGACACUGAGGCACGAAAGCUAGGGGAGCAAACAGG
RNAcentral lists this ribosomal RNA (253 nucleotides) under uncultured bacterium. RNAcentral describes it as "partial 16S ribosomal RNA". It matches the Rfam family "Bacterial small subunit ribosomal RNA", at positions 524 to 776 of the family's 1533-position model. The record is from RNAcentral.